Molecule: ribosomal RNA, 467 nt
Filed under: uncultured bacterium
Lineage: Bacteria
Description: partial 16S ribosomal RNA
Rfam family: Bacterial small subunit ribosomal RNA
Source: RNAcentral
ACGCACGCUGGCGGCGUGCUUAACACCUGCAAGUCGAACGGAAAGGCCCUGCUUUUGUGGGGUGCUCGCGUGGCGAACGGGUGAGUAACACGUGAGUAACCUGCCCUUGACUUUGGGAUAACUUCAGGAAACUGGGGCUAAUACCGGAUAGGAGCUCCUGCUGCAUGGUGGGGGUUGGAAAGUUUCGGCGGUUGGGGAUGGACUCGCGGCUUGUCAGCUUGUUGGUGGGGUAGUGGCUUACCAAGGCUUUGACGGGUAGCCGGCCUGAGAGGGUGACCGGCCACAUUGGGACUGAGAUACGGCCCAGACUCCUACGGGAGGCAGCAGUGGGGAAUAUUGCACAAUGGGCGGAAGCCUGAUGCAGCAACGCCGCGUGCGGGAUGACGGCCUUCGGGUUGUAAACCGCUUUCGCCUGUGACGAAGCGUGAGUGACGGUAAUGGGUAAAGAAGCACCGGCUAACUACGUG